Molecule: small RNA, 520 nt
Filed under: Mus musculus (house mouse)
Lineage: Eukaryota; Metazoa; Chordata; Mammalia; Rodentia; Muridae
Description: partial mRNA-like noncoding RNA
Source: RNAcentral
GAGGCGCUUGGGAGGACUCCCCCAGUUCUGUUAAGAGCUGGGCACAAAGAGCCCUUUGCACUCCAGCCGCAGGAGCGAGGAGGAGCCGAGACCUGGGGCGUCCAGCGCAGCCUCAAACCCAGGGCAUCUCUGCACUCUCAUCGCGACGUCGCUCUGGAUGCUGUUUGCAUAUCCUUGGGGAGUCACUGCUUUGGCACAACAGUCCUGCGAGGUGCUGGAAUUCCGUCUGUUCUCAUCACACGGACAUGGCUGAUCUGUCUCAGUGGUACCUGGGGGCAAAGCAGGGAGCCGGGCGGUGGAGGCCAACAUUGUUACCAAGUUGGCUCUGUCUCAACACAGGGACUGAGCCUUCUGAGCCUCAAGCUUUCUCUCUACACUAUGAGACUGAAUCAGCCUGACUCUGGAACUAGGGUUCCCUGGAAACCUCCACUGUCCUCACAAUGACCAGGAUUCAGUGCACGCUGUGACGGGGUCACUGUGGGUUUGUUCACAGAGUUCCUGCUGGUUCCCAGGUGGUGGA